CCAGCAGCCGCGGUAAUUCCAGCUCCAAUAGCGUAUAUUAAAGUUGUUGCAGUUAAAAAGCUCGUAGUUGAAGUUUGGUCUCGGACGCUGGGUCUGCUUCAUUGCAUGUACUUGACGGUCCGAGACUUCCUUCUUGGUGAACGGCCGCCUUCGGGUGGUCCGGAACCAGGACUAUUACUUUGAAAAAAUUAGAGUGUUCAAAGCAGGCCAUAGGCCCGAAUAUAUUAGCAUGGAAUAACAGAAUAGGACGUGCGGUUCUAUUUUGUUGGUUUCUAGAACUGCCGUAAUGAUUAAAAGGGACAGCCGGGGGCAUUAGUAUUUGCACGCUAGAGGUGAAAUUCUUGGAUUGUGCAAAGACUUCCUACUGCGAAAGCAUUUGCCAAGAAUG
This 388-nucleotide ribosomal RNA is filed under the name uncultured eukaryote. RNAcentral's name for it is "SSU rRNA". It matches the Rfam family "Eukaryotic small subunit ribosomal RNA", at positions 567 to 966 of the family's 1831-position model. The record is from RNAcentral.